This is a long non-coding RNA of Vicia villosa (hairy vetch), 931 nucleotides long. RefSeq lists it as uncharacterized. NCBI's taxonomy places the organism in Eukaryota, Viridiplantae, Streptophyta, Magnoliopsida, Fabales, Fabaceae. The transcript is spliced from 5 exons. The record is from RefSeq and is a predicted model, not a curated record.
UUUUCAACUUCUUUUCCCAACUGAAAGACACAUAACAUAAGCAAAACCGAACUUAUUUUCUUCCAACAACCAAGUUGUUUUCUUCAAGAACCCCUUAUUCUUAUAGCUUCUCAAAUACCCAUUUGUCAAAACCAUUCCUUUUUGCGGUUAAAGUUUCAUCUGAUGUCGGGUUAGAAGCAUGCAAAUAAGAAGAAGAGGAGGAAGAGGAACCAACCAUAUGAAGUAGAGAUUGACCAACCUUAUGGAAUCAAAUAUGUGAAAGGAAGAUAUGGUGGAAUUUACAUUGAUUGAUGCUAUUGCACCUGGUGGAUCUGCUGAUAAGGCUGGAGUCUUCAAUGUUGGUGAUCAAGUAAUUGCCUCCAGGAAAGAUAGAAAUUGGUAGUUAGUUUACAGAUAAGGAGAUUAUCAUAGCCGAGAUGAACUCUUGUAUAUUCAGUAACAAAGUCAGAGAAAUUCAAGUAAGUUUCAUCAAAUUAAAACUACAAAAUUGUAAUUCUUAAAUUUCCAAACCCUAUUUUUAUAUAAGAUAUUUUAUUUUCUAAAGAAAGGUGUCACUACUGUAUUUCCAUGCGGGAUUACAAUUGUUUUCAUUCCUCAAACUUGUAAAAACUUCAGCAGCAAAACUACUCAUGGAAAAAUAUUUGGAAGUGCGCCGCCGGGGAAAUGAUUUGAGAGAAGUCUUACGAGUAUACAAAAUGGAAGUAUAACGUUGUAUUUCUUCUAGGAAAGUCAAGAAAAGAUGCUUUCCCCGGAUAACAUAAGAAUAUCUACUUCAUAGUCUAGAGGCUCGUGAUAUUUUUAUGGAGAUUUUUCUGUUUAACAUGCUCUAUCUGCUGCUAUGAAAAUCAGAACUGAUCCUGACCUUGCAAAUGCUUAAUAAGCCACCUAACACCAUUGUUGCUUAUUGAUACUCUAAGCUAAAUCAGGCAUG